Molecule: ribosomal RNA, 253 nt
Filed under: uncultured bacterium
Lineage: Bacteria
Description: partial 16S ribosomal RNA
Rfam family: Bacterial small subunit ribosomal RNA
Source: RNAcentral
UACGAAGGGGGCUAGCGUUGUUCGGAAUCACUGGGCGUAAAGGGCGCGUAGGCGGCUUUAUAAGUCGGGGGUGAAAGCCUGUGGCUCAACCACAGAAUUGCCUUCGAUACUGUAGAGCUUGAGACCGGAAGAGGUAAGUGGAACUGCGAGUGUAGAGGUGAAAUUCGUAGAUAUUCGCAAGAACACCAGUGGCGAAGGCGGCUUACUGGUCCGGUUCUGACGCUGAGGCGCGAAAGCGCGGGGAGCAAACAGG